This 1373-nucleotide ribosomal RNA is filed under the name Henneguya mystusia. RNAcentral's name for it is "SSU rRNA". It matches the Rfam family "Eukaryotic small subunit ribosomal RNA", at positions 318 to 1511 of the family's 1831-position model. Lineage: Eukaryota; Metazoa; Cnidaria; Myxozoa; Bivalvulida; Myxobolidae. The record is from RNAcentral.
ACUCGUUGGUAAGGUAGUGGCUUACCAAGGUUGCAACGGGUAACGGGGAAUCAGGGUUCGAUUCCGGAGAGGGAGCCUGAGAAACGGCUACCACAUCCAAGGAUGGCAGCAGGCGCGUAAAUUACCCAAUCCAGACAAUGGGAGGUGGUGACCAGAAGUACUGAGUGGUAGAUUUAUCUACUAAUCUCGGAAUGAGCAUAAAGUAAAAAGUUAGUCGAGUAACAACUGGAGGGCAAGUCUGGUGCCAGCAGCCGCGGUAAUUCCAGCUCCAGUAGCAUGUCGUAAAGUUGUUGCGUUUAAAACGCUCGUAGUUGGAUCAUACGGUAUCGGUCAGUUAGUAUGCAAACCUGGCAGAAAAUCUCGCAACUGCGGCCUACUCAGUUAGUUCUGGGGGGUCAGGGGCUGCGGGAGUCAGAAUUUGUAGCCUAUCCGCUGGCCGGUACUACUUGCACGCAAGAAUGGCGGUUGGCCUUAAGUGAGUCGGUCGUUGUGUCUUGCGGAGUGUGCCUUGAAUAAAUCAGAGUGCUUAAAGCAGGCUAGUGCCUGAAUGAUACAGCAUGGAACGAACAAACGUGGUUAGUGCAGAGUCGGUGACAAUGUUACUGGCUGUGCACAUCACCAACCGCCUGUACGGAUGUUGGGUUCCGUAUUGGGGUGAUGAUUAAAACGAGCGGUUGGGGGCAUUGGUAUUUGGCCGCGAGAGGUGAAAUUCUUAGACCGGCCAAGGACUAACAAAAGCGAAGGCAUUUGCCAAGACCGCCUCGAUUGAUCAAGAACGAUAGUGGGAGGUUCGAAGACGAUCAGAUACCGUCCUAGUUCCCACAGUAAACUAUGCCGACCCGGGAUCAGUUUAGAGCUAAAGAUAACGCUCCAGGUUGGUCCCCCUGGGAAACCUAAAGUGUUUGGGUUACGGGGGGAGUAUGGUCGCAAGGCUGAGACUUAAAGGAAUUGACGGAAGGGCACCACCAGGGGUGGAGCCUGCGGCUUAAUUUGACUCAACACGGGAAAACUCACCGGUUCCGGACGUCAAAAGGAUAGACAGACUGAUAGAUCUUUCUUGAUAUGAUGUGUGGUGGUGCAUGGCCGUUCUUAGUUCGUGAAGUGAUUUGUCAGGUUAAUUCCGGUAACGAACGAGAUCAAGAUCUCCGUUUACGGCGUGGAAUAGUCGGUGGAAACACUGGCUCUAGUUGUGAAGUACGGUUGAUGGUUCGCCAGAGACUGAAUUUUGUGACUUUUCUUCCACGACGCCAUGUGCGGCAACGUAUGUGGCUGCAUGGAGAGACAACUGACUUUUAAAUCAGAGGAAGUUUGGCAAUAACAGGUCUGUGGUGCCCUUAGACGUACCGGGCUGCACGCGCGCUACAAUGGUAACA